GAAGAGCUACAACCAUCCAAUCUACACUCAGCAACGUGGGCUUGUAGUCAUGUGCUCAGCCACUUAUCGAAUGCCUAUUAUAUGCUGGCCACGGUCUCGUUCACUGGAGCAUGGGCUCUUCUAUCCCAUGGCUUGUGUUCCCGUGACCCUGAUAGCAGGAGAAGGGCUUGUUAAAUGUGAAGAACAGCUUGGUAACCGAGACCAGGAGGAAAUGGAAGCGUCUGCAGCUGCCAGCAGUGUAAUUGAUGCAUCUUAAGAUUACAGAGAUCGAGAGUGGUGGGUCUAGGAGUCUGCUGCUGGUCUUCCUAGCUCCUGCUUUACUGAGUCUCCUACGUCAGCAGCACUCAGCCUUCUCUCCUUGUUGAAUUAAACAGAAGCAGAGAGUCCGGCUAGACGGAAGAGAACAAUCCUUCAUGUUCCUGCCCUGACAUCUCUUCAAGAUGGACCAUAAGCUACAAAGAUGAAAUAAAACCUUUUGUCCCCAA
Long non-coding RNA from Rattus norvegicus (Norway rat), 485 nucleotides. RefSeq lists it as uncharacterized. The record is from RefSeq and is a predicted model, not a curated record. Lineage: Eukaryota; Metazoa; Chordata; Mammalia; Rodentia; Muridae.